UAUCACAGCCAGCUUUGUUGAGC
RNAcentral lists this non-coding RNA (23 nucleotides) under Drosophila melanogaster (fruit fly). RNAcentral also lists the same sequence under 1 other name. The record is from RNAcentral. Lineage: Eukaryota; Metazoa; Arthropoda; Insecta; Diptera; Drosophilidae.